This 26-nucleotide small RNA is filed under the name Bombyx mori (domestic silkworm). RNAcentral's name for it is "ovarian small RNA-12068". Lineage: Eukaryota; Metazoa; Arthropoda; Insecta; Lepidoptera; Bombycidae. The record is from RNAcentral.
AGCCAGGGAAGGAGUCCGCAGCCAGC